RNAcentral lists this ribosomal RNA (378 nucleotides) under uncultured bacterium. RNAcentral's name for it is "bacterial SSU rRNA". It matches the Rfam family "Bacterial small subunit ribosomal RNA", at positions 28 to 396 of the family's 1533-position model. The record is from RNAcentral.
GACGAACGCUGGCGGCGUGCCUAACACAUGCAAGUCGAGCGAGAAAGUCCCUUCGGGGGCGAGUACAGCGGCGAACGGGUGAGUAACACGUGGGCAACCUGCCCCAACGGAGCGGGACGAACCUCGGGAAACCGGGGCUAAUACCGCAUGACCCGCCACGGCUCAAGCCGUGUCGGCAAAAGGUCGCUUCGGCCUCCGCCUUGGGAUGGGCCCGCGGCGCAUUAGCUUGUUGGUGAGGGUAACGGCCCACCAAGGCGACGAUGCGUAGCUGGUCUGAGAGGACGAUCAGCCACACUGGGACUGAGACACGGCCCAGACUCCUACGGGAGGCAGCAGUGGGGAAUAUUGGACAAUGGGCGAAAGCCUGAUCCAGCGACG